GAUAAACGCUGGCGGCGUGCCUAAUACAUGCAAGUCGAGCGGAAAGGCUCCUUCGGGAGUACUCGAGCGGCGGACGGCUGAGUAACACGUAGGAACGUACCCCAAAGUGAGGGAUAACUGCUCGAAAGAGUAGCUAAUACCGCAUGUGCUCUAAGGAGUAAAGCUUCGGCGCUUUGGGAACGGCCUGCGCCUGAUUAGCUUGUUGGUGAGGUAAAAGCUCACCAAGGCGACGAUCAGUAGCUGGUCUGAGAGGAUGAUCAGCCAGGCUGGGACUGAGAACGGCCCAGACUCCUACGGGAGGCAGCAGUAGGGAAUUUUCCACAAUGGGCGAAAGCCUGAUGGAGCAACGCCGCGUGCAGGAUGAAUGCCUUCGGGUUGUAAACUGCUUUUAUAUGUGACGAAUAUGACGGUAGCAUAUGAAUAGGGAUCGGCUAACUCCGUGCCAGCAGCCGCCGUAA
Molecule: ribosomal RNA, 458 nt
Filed under: uncultured bacterium
Lineage: Bacteria
Description: partial 16S ribosomal RNA
Rfam family: Bacterial small subunit ribosomal RNA
Source: RNAcentral